This 473-nucleotide ribosomal RNA is filed under the name uncultured bacterium. RNAcentral describes it as "bacterial SSU rRNA". It matches the Rfam family "Bacterial small subunit ribosomal RNA", at positions 355 to 825 of the family's 1533-position model. The record is from RNAcentral.
UGGGGAAUUGUUCACAAUGGGCGCAAGCCUGAUGACGCAACGCCGCGUGGGGGAUGAAGGUCUUCGGAUCGUAAACCCCUGUCGAAUGGGACGAAAGACUCGCGAGUGAAUACUUCGCGAGAGUGACGGUACCGUUAAAGGAAGCCACGGCUAACUCUGUGCCAGCAGCCGCGGUAAUACAGAGGUGGCAAGCGUUGUUCGGAAUUACUGGGCGUAAAGCGCGCGUAGGUGGUUAGUUAAGUUGGAUGUGAAAUCCCCGGGCUCAACCUGGGAACUGCAUUCAAAACUGACUGACUAGAGUAUGGUAGAGGGUGGUGGAAUUUCCUGUGUAGCGGUGAAAUGCGUAGAUAUAGGAAGGAACACCAGUGGCGAAGGCGACCACCGGGACUGAUACUGACACUGAGGUGCGAAAGCGUGGGGAGCAAACAGGAUUAGAUACCCAAGUAGUCCCUGAGCGGGCUGGCAAGGCGCAU